UACGUAGGGUGCAAGCGUUAAUCGGAAUUACUGGGCGUAAAGCGUGCGCAGGCGGUUUUGUAAGUCUGUCGUGAAAGCCCCGGGCUCAACCUGGGAAUUGCGAUGGAGACUGCAAGGCUUGAAUCUGGCAGAGGGGGGUAGAACUCCACGUGUAGCAGUGAAAUGCGUAGAGAUGUGGAGGAACACCGAUGGCGAAGGCAGCCCCCUGGGUCAAGAUUGACGCUCAUGCACGAAAGCGUGGGGAGCAAACAGG
Molecule: ribosomal RNA, 253 nt
Filed under: uncultured bacterium
Lineage: Bacteria
Description: partial 16S ribosomal RNA
Rfam family: Bacterial small subunit ribosomal RNA
Source: RNAcentral